GCAGCCGCCGCGGGAAAACGGAGGGUGCAAGCGUUAAUCGGAAUUACUGGGCGUAAAGCGCACGCAGGCGGUCUGACAAGUCAGAUGUGAAAUCCCCGGGCUUAACCUGGGAACUGCAUUUGAAACUGUCAGGCUGGAGUCUUGUAGAGGGGGGUAGAAUUCCAGGUGUAGCGGUGAAAUGCGUAGAGAUCUGGAGGAAUACCGGUGGCGAAGGCGGCCCCCUGGACAAAGACUGACGCUCAGGUGCGAAAGCGUGGGGAGCAAACAGGAUUAGAUACCCCUGUAGUCCCUGUCUCUUAUAC
This 302-nucleotide ribosomal RNA is filed under the name uncultured bacterium. Its description in RNAcentral is "partial 16S ribosomal RNA". It matches the Rfam family "Bacterial small subunit ribosomal RNA", at positions 508 to 807 of the family's 1533-position model. The record is from RNAcentral.